This 460-nucleotide ribosomal RNA is filed under the name uncultured bacterium. Its description in RNAcentral is "partial 16S ribosomal RNA". It matches the Rfam family "Bacterial small subunit ribosomal RNA", at positions 338 to 795 of the family's 1533-position model. The record is from RNAcentral.
CCUACGGGCGGCAGCAGUGAGGAAUAUUGGUCAAUGGGCUUACGCCUGAACCAGCCAAGUCGCGUGAGGGAAGACUGCCCUAUGGGUUGUAAACCUCUUUUGUCAGGGAGCAACGCCGGCUACGUGUAGCCGGACUGAGAGUACCUGAAGAAAAAGCAUCGGCUAACUCCGUGCCAGCAGCCGCGGUAAUACGGAGGAUGCGAGCGUUAUCCGGAUUUAUUGGGUUUAAAGGGUGCGUAGGCGGACUGGAAAGUCAGCGGUAAAAUCGAGAGGCUCAACCUCUUUCCGCCGUUGAAACUGUCGGUCGUGAGUGGGCGAGAAGUAUGCGGAAUGCGUGGUGUAGCGGUGAAAUGCAUAGAUAUCACGCAGAACUCCGAUUGCGAAGGCAGCAUACCGGCGCCCGACUGACGCUGAGGCACGAAAGCGUGGGUAUCGAACAGGAUUAGAUACCCGAGUAGUC